GGGCUAACCUUUUAGGAGGCAGCCGGCCACGGUAAGGUCAGCGACUGGGGUGAAGUCGUAACAAGGUAGCCGUAGGGGAACCUGCGGCUGGAUCACCUCCUUUCAAGG
RNAcentral lists this ribosomal RNA (108 nucleotides) under Thalassospira sp. ER-Se-21-Dark. Its description in RNAcentral is "partial 16S ribosomal RNA". It matches the Rfam family "Bacterial small subunit ribosomal RNA", at positions 1432 to 1533 of the family's 1533-position model. The record is from RNAcentral. Lineage: Bacteria; Pseudomonadati; Pseudomonadota; Alphaproteobacteria; Rhodospirillales; Thalassospiraceae.